GACGAACGCUGGCGGCGUGCUUAACACAUGCAAGUCGAACGGGAUUUAGUAAACAGAAGCCUCGGUGGAAGAUUACUAAUGGGAGUGGCGAACGGGUGAGUAACGCGUGAGCAACCUGCCUAUGACAGUGGGAUAGCCUCGGGAAACCGGGAUUAAUACCGCAUAAAAUCGUAGAAACACAUGUUUUAACGGUCAAAGAUUUAUCGGUCAUAGAUGGGCUCGCGUCUGAUUAGCUAGUUGGUGAGGUAACAGCCCACCAAGGCGACGAUCAGUAGCCGGUCUGAGAGGAUGAACGGCCACACUGGAACUGAGACACGGUCCAAACUCCUACGGGAGGCAGCAGUGGGGAAUAUUGCACAAUGGGGGAAAGCCUGAUGCAGCGACGCCGCGUGAACGAAGAAGGUAUUCGUAUCGUAAAGUUCUGUUCUAUGGGAAGAUAAUGACAGUACCAGAGAAGAAAGCUCCGGCUAAAUACGUG
Molecule: ribosomal RNA, 478 nt
Filed under: uncultured bacterium
Lineage: Bacteria
Description: partial 16S ribosomal RNA
Rfam family: Bacterial small subunit ribosomal RNA
Source: RNAcentral